Molecule: ribosomal RNA, 305 nt
Filed under: uncultured bacterium
Lineage: Bacteria
Description: bacterial SSU rRNA
Rfam family: Bacterial small subunit ribosomal RNA
Source: RNAcentral
CCCUACGGGACGCAGCAGUGGGGAAUAUUGCACAAUGGGGGAAACCCUGAUGCAGCGACGCCGCGUGAGUGAAGAAGUAUUUCGGUAUGUAAAGCUCUAUCAGCAGGGAAGAAAAUGACGGUACCUGAGUAAGAAGCCCCGGCUAACUACGUGCCAGCAGCCGCGGUAAUACGUAGGGGGCAAGCGUUAUCCGGAUUUACUGGGUGUAAAGGGAGCGUAGACGGCAGUGCAAGUCUGGAGUGAAAGGCGGGGGCUCAACCCCCGGACUGCUCUGGAAACUGUAUGGCUGGAGUGCAGGAGAGGUA